GACGAACGCUGGCGGCGUGCUUAACACAUGCAAGUCGAACGGAAAGGCCCUGCUUUUGUGGGGUGCUCGAGUGGCGAACGGGUGAGUAACACGUGAGUAACCUGCCCUUGACUUUGGGAUAACUUCAGGAAACUGGGGCUAAUACCGGAUAGGAGCUCCUGCUGCAUGGAGGGGGUUGGAAAGUUUCGGCGGUUGGGGAUGGACUCGCGGCUUAUCAGCCUGGUGGUGGGGUAGUGGCUUACCAAGGCUUUGACGGGUAGCCGGCCUGAGAGGGUGGCCGGCCACAUUGGGACUGAGAUACGGCCCAGACUCCUACGGGAGGCAGCGGUGGGGAAUAUUGCACAAUGGGCGGAAGCCUGAUGCAGCAACGCCGCGUGCGGGAUGACGGCCUUCGGGUUGUAAACCGCUUUCGCCUGUGACGAAGCGUGAGUGACGGUAAUGGGUAAAGAAGCACCGGCUAACUACGUG
This 468-nucleotide ribosomal RNA is filed under the name uncultured bacterium. RNAcentral's name for it is "partial 16S ribosomal RNA". It matches the Rfam family "Bacterial small subunit ribosomal RNA", at positions 28 to 507 of the family's 1533-position model. The record is from RNAcentral.